This 315-nucleotide long non-coding RNA is filed under the name Phaseolus vulgaris (common bean). RNAcentral's name for it is "long non-coding RNA (PVUL_LNC001863)". The record is from RNAcentral. Lineage: Eukaryota; Viridiplantae; Streptophyta; Magnoliopsida; Fabales; Fabaceae.
AGCCGUGGAGGAUCGGGACUCCAGCCGGAUGGCAACUGCUACUAAGUUGUCGGACGUGGUGCUGGACUGUGUGAUGCCGUACAUCCACGACCCCAAGGACCGGGACGCGGUGUCGCAGGUGUGUCACCGGUGGUACGAGCUCGACUCGCUCACGCGGAAGCACGUUACGAUUGCGCUCUGCUACACCACCACACCGGACCGCCUCCGGAGGCGGUUCCCGCACCUAGAGUCCCUGAACCUGAAGGGGAAGCCCCGGGCAGCAAUGUUCAACCUCAUACCAGAGGAUUGGGGAGGUUUCGUUACACCGUGGGUUAA